This 318-nucleotide RNase P RNA is filed under the name Flavobacterium sp. RNAcentral describes it as "RNase P RNA component class A". It matches the Rfam family "Bacterial RNase P class A". From Rfam's summary of the family: Ribonuclease P (RNase P) is a ubiquitous endoribonuclease, found in archaea, bacteria and eukarya as well as chloroplasts and mitochondria. Its best characterised activity is the generation of mature 5'-ends of tRNAs by cleaving the 5'-leader elements of precursor-tRNAs. Lineage: Bacteria; Pseudomonadati; Bacteroidota; Flavobacteriia; Flavobacteriales; Flavobacteriaceae. The record is from RNAcentral.
CACGCAGGCCGCCUUAUCGCCGUUUUGAGCAAUCAAGAAGGAGGAAAGUCCGGACACCACAGAGAAGCAUAGCGGGUAACACCCGUCGGUUCGAGCAAGCGGAUUAGGACAAGUGCAACAGAAAGUAUGUACAGGUAAUGCUGUAGUGAAACCAGGUAAACUCUAUGCGGUGAAAUAUCAAGUAUAUCAGCAUUUAAGGGCUUCUCGUCCGUUGCUGAAGGGUAGAUAGCUUGAGUCCCGCAGUAAUGCGGGAUCUAGAUAAAUGAUAAGGCUCUAAUUUAUUAGAGACAGAAUCCGGCUUAUAGGUCUGCUUUUUUU